CCGCUUGCAAGUAAACAGAUGGACCCACGAAGUCCGGUUGAGUAAGGGAUUCAAUUCUCUCGAGAGGCGAAGUUGGCUCUCAUGACCUCACGGUUGUGGGUGACAGCUUGCAGUCAAUUGAGGGAUGCAUUUCUCUUGUUCACGAUGGAGCUCUGACUGCUUAGUCUGAAACAUUAACUGCUUAGGGCAGCCGUUGUUUGUGGUUGAAUCUUCGGAUUCGUUUCACUUUCGAUGGUGAGUAAGUGAUGUGACGCUGAGCAGGUGAAUAUCUUACAUACUAUGUAAGUGUCAGAUUAUCGAUGUGACUUGUGUGUCAAGUGCUUGGUGAGGAGAACUUUCGUCUCUCGUAGAUGAAAACCUUUUCGCUAUAGGCACUUAAGUGCACUGCAGGAAGCAUCAAUGAUGAUCCAGAGUAAGUAGGUCGGUCAUCCAUCUGACCCGUCUUGAAACACGGACCAAGGAGCCCAACAAUUGCGCGAGUCGCUCAGUCUUGCAUAGGCUUGAGAGGCGAAAUAAACAUAACGGUAUGAUCCUGUCGCUCUUCAUCUCACGAUGUGGAGUACAGGCGCAAUGCCGACCUGCUGUAUUUGCCUUCAUUGACAGAUUAGCGGAGUCUGAGCGUAAUUGUUGGUACCCGAAAGAUGGUGAACUAUACUUGGGCAAGACGAAGCCAGAGGAAACUCUGGUGGAGGUCUGUAGCGAUUCUGACGUGCAAAUCGAUCGUCAGACCUGAGUAUAGGGGCGAAAGACUAAUCGAACCAUCUAGUAGCUGGUUCCUUCCGAAGUUUCCCUCAGGAUAGCUGGCACAAAGGAAGGUACUCUGUAGCACCCGGUAAAGCGAAUGAUUAGAGGUAUUGGGAUCGAAACGAUCUCAACCUAUUCUCAAACUUUAAAUGGGUGCGGAGCUUGACUUAUUUGGAGUAAAGUCUUGCUUUUGUAAGAGUUGUGCCAAGUGGGCCAUUUUUGGUAAGCAGAACUGGCGCUGUGGGAUGAACCAAACACUGAGUUAAAGUACCCAAUGCCGACGCUCAUGAGACCCCAUGAAAGGUGUUGGUUGCUAUAGACAGC
RNAcentral lists this ribosomal RNA (1068 nucleotides) under Lebertia holsatica. Its description in RNAcentral is "partial large subunit ribosomal RNA". It matches the Rfam family "Eukaryotic large subunit ribosomal RNA", at positions 405 to 1241 of the family's 3401-position model. Lineage: Eukaryota; Metazoa; Arthropoda; Arachnida; Trombidiformes; Lebertiidae. The record is from RNAcentral. RNAcentral also lists the same sequence under 1 other name.